UACAGAGGUCUCAAGCGUUGUUCGGAUUCAUUGGGCGUAAAGGGUGCGUAGGCGGCGCGGUAAGUCGGGUGUGAAAUCUUGGAGCUUAACUCCGAAACUGCAUUCGAUACUGCCGUGCUUGAGGACUGGAGAGGAGACUGGAAUUUACGGUGUAGCGGUGAAAUGCGUAGAUAUCGUAAGGAAGACCAGUGGCGAAGGCGGGUCUCUGGGCCGAUACUGACGCUGAGGAGCGAAAGCGCGGGGAGCGAACAGG
This 253-nucleotide ribosomal RNA is filed under the name uncultured bacterium. Its description in RNAcentral is "partial 16S ribosomal RNA". It matches the Rfam family "Bacterial small subunit ribosomal RNA", at positions 524 to 776 of the family's 1533-position model. The record is from RNAcentral.